RNAcentral lists this long non-coding RNA (430 nucleotides) under Serinus canaria (Common canary). Its description in RNAcentral is "lncRNA (ENSSCAG00000013637.1)". Lineage: Eukaryota; Metazoa; Chordata; Aves; Passeriformes; Fringillidae. The record is from RNAcentral.
AACUGCCUUUUUAACCUGUACAGUCGCAGCAUUCUGACUCCCUUUCCCUCUCUAAGUAGCUUUAGAAGAGUUUCUACCCCCUUUGUAUGAUCACAUGGUUGUUUUUGUACCAUCACCUGUCGGUGUCCCACGUGCUGGAGGGUUUGGCUGUCCUGGGCUGCUCCCAGAGGAUGCAGUCAGCACUCAAAUACUGGAAGGCUGGUACUGGGAAGUUCUAUGAAUGGAACGUUGUAAAUGCCUGUCGGAAAUAAAAUACUGGAGGAAAAAAAAAAAGCUAACUGCAGAGAGUGGUGUGUGGAGCCUGUCACAGGAGGGCUGUGAGGUGGGAAGGGUGAGAGCAGGGAGGAGGUCCUGCAUUCCCAGCUGGUGCAGCUCGGGAAGGAGCCCUCAGGAUUAUUUUUGGCUUGUGAGGCUCCCAGGCUAAUCCAGA